UACGACUGUUGCCAUGUUUCUCCCUUUGAGAAAAGAAUGAAAGGACAAGAAAGAAUUCUUUCUAGCUUUCUAUCCCAAGUGACCUUGAGACAUGAUCAUGGGAGUUGGCUGCUGUGUGAAGAAGAGAUUAGAAAAAAUUAGGAUGACAUGGGACAGGAAGGGUAGCCCUCCCACCGUAAGCGCUCCAGAAAGUUAGUUACAUGGUAGUGUUGCCUCAGGACAAUGGAUCAUUCAUCUCCCUGACUCCCAGGUCCAACAGGGGACACAGAAGAGACAGAUGCCUUGCCUGCGUUCACCUGGAGAAAGUUUGUUUAGAUGACAGAAUAACCCUGGGUAUAUUCCAGCUCAGCAAGCUUGAAAUGACUCUGGGGACUUGGCCUGGCCAAAGCACAGUUCUGAAAUCUUUUCUUUGUUGUCGAAUUGUUAGAGUUUUAACAAUGAAGCUAAAGGGGUUGCUUUUAGUGAGAGGUAGGAGAAUAAAACUUCACAGGGGCACAGCAAUUAGCGUGUGGACUAGAUCCCUAUGACGGAGAAAAACCUGCAGCAUUUUGUAAGAUGAUUUAUUAGACAUGGGUAGAAUUUGCUAGAAACCUACCAGGAGCAAAUCAUCUGGGAAGGAAUUAAUGAUCCAAACAAAACACUUGAUAAUGCAAUUAGAACUUGAGGAAACGUAGGGGUUUUUCAGAGAGAGAGAGGGGAGUUCAUGUACAUGACUUUGAUUAUGUCAAAUGUAAGGCUGGAAAAAGGAUGUUAACAAGUUUUUAAAGAGUAAAGUUAUCAGAGGGUACAAGGAGAUGACGGGGGUGACAUUUAUAGUUCUGAUGCAUCAGUGUAGUUAUCAAGUGUGCCCAGCUGGGUGGAAAUGCACUUGCAGCUUUGUCUCAGCAAAAUGGUGUGUGGGUCUGAGAAACAGAAAUGAGCAUGCUGGAGGCAAAAAUACGGAUCCCCUGCACACGCAACGGCAGAGAACAGCCACCAGGAGAACGCGGUGUUUUUCUUUAGUUGCUUUAGGCAACACUAAGUUUCCCCCUGCUUUUGUUUGGGUCAGGGAUUUUUUUUCCUUUAAAUCUUUUCUCAGUUGAGUUUAAAACUGUGAGUAUGAAGCUCUCUAAGCUUUUCUUUGACCUCGUUUCAUCGUGCCUUACAGAUGAGCUCAUUGAAAAACGUGUUUUGCAGCGGUACCAUCCGCUGAGUAUGUCCAGAGGACAUUUCUGGCCAUAUACGUGUCUUAAUUGCUAUCGCAGGCUUGGCAUAUCAACUAUAUCUGGGUCUAACAUAGGCUAUCUUUUGUUGAUAUAAACAUAUAUGUUUUUAAAUGUGUAAUUUGAAAAUAUGUUCCCUUCAUCAGCUUUUUAGUUUGGAGGGGGAUGUGGUUAACAUUUUUAAUGACUUUCCAAAACAUUUCUUCUUUAAAAUAUACAUUGCAGAGUCAUACACCACCAUCCACACAGAGCUUUCAUACUUUCCUAAGUGUUUUCACUUGCUUUAGCUCCAGGAAUAUGUGUCAAACUUGGGAUAGCCCCUUAGAAACAUGGCCCUCUCUGGAUACGAGACAGUGUAGGACACAGAUGCACAUUAAAGUAUUAUCAGUGAAAUGCUUUUCCUAGAAAUCCAUGACUCCUUCUGUCUUGGAGACUAUGCCUGGCUGACACUGACUGCUCCAUAUUGAGAUGACUCAGGAAGCCCAGCCUGGCCAUCGUAACUGGGUCCCAUCCUCUGUUUUGUUCCCCUUGCACUUGGCACUGGCCACCCCAAGUGCUGGCUGCGCUGGUGCAUUUUCAUCUGUGUGAUAAAACUUGGUGGAUGUUUUCCUCCAUCUAAGACCAGGACCUUGUUAGUUGGACCACUGCAGUCCUGCCAGUGGAUGCCCCUACUUGGCACACUGGAGGUGUCCAAUAAAUACCCUACUGAACAAAUACUGAAUCUGAGAAUUUUCCCUAAAAGUACUGCAUAUUUCCACCACCAUAUAUUGUUUUUAAGAAGCUUUGGCUUUACAUACUUCUGUUGAAACCCUUAUUCUCCACUGUUCCUUUCAAGAAAAUGAUGUAGCACCAAUGAUCUCUGAAGAUGUCCACAUAAGUUGACCUUUCUGGAUCUAUUCCCAUCAUUUUAACUGUCCCCCAAGAGACUUUCAACCCAUAAAGAUGACCCUCUUUGACCCAAUUUUGGAAGCCUGGCUGCCCCCACCUUCUCUAGAAAUGCUGGCUUUUUCCUUCAACCCCUAGAUUGGCCUAUUAGACAAUAGAGUCAUCUCCCCAUAUCCAUGAGAUAUUGGCUCCAGUAUCUUCCCAAAUCCAUGAAUUCUCAAGUUCCUGAUAUAAAAUGGCACACAGAGUAUUUGCAUCCUCCCAUAUAGUUUAAAUCACAUGGCCAUAUACUUGUCCUAAUUGCUAUUGUAGGCUUGGCAUACCAACUACAUCCUCCCAUAUACUUUACAUCACCUCUAGAUUAUUUAUAAUACCUAAUACAAUGCCUACAUCAUGGGAA
Molecule: long non-coding RNA, 2487 nt
Filed under: Homo sapiens (human)
Lineage: Eukaryota; Metazoa; Chordata; Mammalia; Primates; Hominidae
Description: HSALNT0312518
Source: RNAcentral